RNAcentral lists this long non-coding RNA (2543 nucleotides) under Hordeum vulgare. RNAcentral describes it as "long non-coding RNA (HVUL_LNC008900)". Lineage: Eukaryota; Viridiplantae; Streptophyta; Magnoliopsida; Poales; Poaceae. The record is from RNAcentral.
AAUUUUUGUAGGGCAUUCACUGAUCUUUGUGGAAGUCGCUUACCAGCAAGUGGCCCCCUCUCACUCAACUUCCGUUUGAAAUAUCUCUAGUCCGGCAGCCUCUACUAGACACCACCGGUAACUAAUCCAGUUCCCUGAUCUUUUUUUCCAUGGACGCAUGAUUCAGAGUGUACUCCUUGCUGCAGGUGCUUUUGGACGAGGGACACACCCACGUUCAGUAUUGUCUAAAUAGGUAAGCAGUCCAAAAUACAGUACACAAUUCUGACCAGGGAACUGAACAGGUGCUGUUGGUUCAAUCUUUCUUUCCGGCACACUUACAUGGAGCGUACUCCUUGCUGUAGGUGCUUUUGGACGAGGGACACACCCACGUACAAUAGGUAAGCAGGUUAGUUGCUUCCUUACAUAAACACACAUACAUGCACUUGACGAUGAUUGAUUUAAUCUGGGUAGAUGUGCAGGAGGUAGCUCAUUGAGUUGAUCACCGGUGGCUCUCUCUCCCAAUCGCUACCUCUCUAACCCUUGGUGUUGUGUCCCUGCAACUGAAUAUCAUUUCUCCUCCAUAUGUUUGAUUGCAUCUCCAACAGAAAAUAUUGAUCAGGUGCAUGUUCAGGAGGUCGGCGUACACACAUAUUUAGGCCAAUCGAGCGUGCAUUUGACGUGUGCAUCUCGGCAGCCAGAAGAAAUCAAUCUUUUUACCUGCAUGUAAGUACGUACUAGCUAGCUUAUCUAGCCGCAAUCUAUUUUUUUUGCAUUCUAGAUAGCCUAAUCUUCAGCAUAAUUUUACCAUGAUAUAUAUUUAUACUCAGCUCAUCUAUCAUGUAAGUUACAUGGUAUAAAUUGGACUCUUUUACACAAACAAUCUCCCACGUUAACUGAACAUAUAUACAUUUUUUGGAUCCUACUUUAAAGCAAAGUAAUUGUCUUAAUGUGGAAGUUUCACCAUUUAAUUGUCUUAGUGUAGUUAUAUGGUGCAUGAAGUUGUUUUAGCUACAGUUUUAGUUGAGGUAUACCUAUUUUUAGGGACUGUCUAUUUCGCAUUUGACUGUUUUUCUAUUCGACAACAUUCAAAUUUCCCGACAAAUAAACAAAUGCCACCUAUAUGUCCAGCCCUUCCCCGUGGCAACUUUAUGUUCUGUAUUUCUAAAAAAAUGGAUCGGGUUAAACUCUGACCCGGUUUCAACUGAACCUGGAGUCCUGGAUCACAUCAACCAGCUGCCCAUCAGCUUGCAAUCCACGCAAGGGCCAAACCCAUUGAAAAUCAGAAAAUAUGCACUGGUAGUGGUAGCAUUAAAACAAUCAAAAAAUGACAGAUAUUUAGUGCUAAACUUCCAACGAAAACAAGGCUGCAAGUACCCUAAACUGCUGAACAUACACUGUAAAUUACCAAGAAUUACAGUGCAAGAGUCCAAGAAUUACAAUGUAAAUCCCCUAGAAAUUACAGUCCACAUAUAGAGGAAAUGGCACUGUAAUUACAGGUCACUAUCACUGUAAAAAACUAAGAAUUAUAGUGUAAAAAAAAACCCUAGAAAUUACACUUUACAUACAAUGAAAUUUUCCAAAAACUUACAGUGUAAGUGACCAAGAUUUACAGUGUAAAUCCCCUAGAAAAUAGUGUAAAUCCCCUAGAAAAUACAGAUUACAUAUACAGUAAUUACACUACAAGUACCCACUGAUUUACGAUAGUAAAACUGAUAAUCUUAUGCUGAAUUAAAAGUUUAAGUGACCAAGAUUUAUAAUGUCAAUUCCCUAGAAAAUACAGAUUACGUACAUACUAAUUGUAUUGCAAGUACCCACUAAUUAACACUAGUAAAACUGAUGAGUUUAUGCUGAAUUACAGUGUAUGUGACCAAGAUUUAAGAUUUGCAGUGUAAAUCCCCUAGAAAAUACAUAUACAUUGCGCUCAUAUGUCCAUUAAGAUGGACUAUUAGGGACUGUGGGAUCCAUCCCAAAGUUUGUAAUUAUGAAUGAUAUGUAACAUGAGCAUCGCAGGGCAUGUAGUCAAUUUAGCAAUAUUUAUCUACCGCCAUUGAAUAUAAAAGUUUGCAGAGAGUGCAUUUGAUGACUCUGUAUCAAAUAUAUUCUAACUUGAGUACGGAGACUACUAGAUAUAUUGGUUAGCUGGGGCUGAAGCAUUACACAAUUCUAAUACCAUGAAAUAGAAUUGGUGCUAUAUCUAAUAGAACAAAUAGUUGGUGUUCCAACAUACAUGUAGUUAUUAUACUAAAUAAAUAUGUAUAUGAGAAAAAAUGCUAAUUAGGCUGCAAAACUCAUACUGUUUUGGUAUACUUCUAAUUUGGACAUGCUCCAUACUUCUUUUUCACAUACCAUCAUUUUCUUCUUGCAGGCGGCAAUGGCGGGGCAUAUUGUGCAGAGGAAGAGGAUGAACCUUAAUGCGUUGAACCUUAUAUACUAGAACCUUGCAGGUGUUUUUGUAGAAGUAUUCUGUUGUGCAUGUGUAAAUUAUUUUGAUGUGCUCUUGUUAGGCGUUGAACCUUAAUGUGUUGAGUCGGUGGAUGAUGUAUUGUAUUUGAUGUGAUAUGCUA